RNAcentral lists this ribosomal RNA (245 nucleotides) under uncultured bacterium. RNAcentral's name for it is "partial 16S ribosomal RNA". It matches the Rfam family "Bacterial small subunit ribosomal RNA", at positions 524 to 768 of the family's 1533-position model. The record is from RNAcentral.
GACAGAGGGUGCAAGCGUUGUUCGGAAUUACUGGGCGUAAAGCGCGUGUAGGUUGUACGGCUAGUCGGAUGUGAAAUCCCAUGGCUUAACCAUGGAACUGCGUUCGAUACUGCCGAACUAGAGUCCAGGAGAGGGAAGUGGAAUUCCCAGUGUAGAAGUGAAAUUCGUAGAUAUUGGGAGGAACACCGGCAGCGAAAGCGACUUCCUGGCCUGGCACUGACACUGAUACGCGAAAGCGUGGGGAG